AAGUCGUAACAAGGUUUCCGUAGGUGAACCUGCGGAAGGAUCAUUAACACAACCCGAGUGAGACCGAGGCUCGUACCCCGAGCCUCGCGUCUUGCUUCUCUUAUCCAACCCGUGGUCUUGUUGAGAACCCUUGGGGUCCCGUCCCUGGGGGCUUAUCUGCUCAGUCGCUGAAUGCUGCUCACCCAGCAUGCCAGUGAGGACAACCCGCUUCGUGCCGCUUGUCUUCGUAUAGGCUGAGUGGCCCUUUUUCCUUUUCUUACUGCAUCACAUCCCUGUACUGAUUUCAUAUGUUCACGAAAGUGGACGUAUGCUUUAUUGGCCUCGCGUCAAUAAACCAAAAUACAACUCGUAACAACGGAUAUCUCGGCUAAC
RNAcentral lists this unclassified non-coding RNA (372 nucleotides) under fungal sp. RNAcentral's name for it is "partial internal transcribed spacer region". The stretch from base 1 to 46 matches the Rfam family "Eukaryotic small subunit ribosomal RNA", at positions 1786 to 1831 of the family's 1831-position model. Lineage: Eukaryota; Fungi. RNAcentral also lists the same sequence under 1 other name. The record is from RNAcentral.